AGUGGAGGGUUCAUAGAAGAGAGUGGCCAUUAGAUAACCCUUAAGAAUCUCGCUUCCCAUCGAGUUCUUCUCAAUUUUCUCCAUCUCCUGCGCCACUUCAAAUAUGGCACUGAGAGUAUCUCUAUCAAACUGCUGGGCUUCAAUUACAUCAUCAAUCUGAAACUUACUCCCCACCAUAGUUAAAGACUUAUUUUUCACCUCUAAUGCUCUGCAUUGGAAUCCUCCCCUAUUUGUUGGCAGGCUUCAAUUACAUCAUCAAGCUGAAACUUACUCCCCACCAUAGUUAAAGACUUAUUUUUCACCUCUAAUGCUCUGCAUUGGAAUCCUCCCCUAUUUGUUGGCAUAACGCAUUGAUUUCCGCACUUUUUAAACAAUUCAACUGCGAAUGGCAACUUCGAUUUUGACAAGUCGGCAAGUAAACAAGUAGGUUUACAGUGCACGGGUUGCUUUAACCAUAAAUUAUUGCCUCCAAAGUUAGAAUAACUCAUUCUUGGAGGUGGCACAAGUAUUUUCCCAUGGAAUACAUGUGAAGAAAAUGUUGAGGAAAUAGCCAUCAACAAUAAUCAGGAUCACUCACCUGCAACAAAAAAGGGUUAAUUUAGAAGCUACACCAGUUGAAUAUUACACCACAUCAAGCUUGCAUAACAAAGCUAGACUAUGCAGAGUCAGGAAACAAAGAAGUAAACAACCAAUUCAAGAAACAUUAAAGUAAGCUUAGAACAGCAAAUAAAACACAUAAGUUAU
This 744-nucleotide long non-coding RNA is filed under the name Nicotiana benthamiana. Its description in RNAcentral is "long non-coding RNA (NBEN_LNC022546)". The record is from RNAcentral. Lineage: Eukaryota; Viridiplantae; Streptophyta; Magnoliopsida; Solanales; Solanaceae.